CCUAGGGCAUUUUUUGGCCUUUUACUAAAAUGUGUGUGUGUGUGUGUCUGUGUGUAUGUUUGUUCACGCUGCCCAGUGGUGUUUUUCAGAAUCACUAACCAUUAAACCAGGGGUAGUGAACCUAUGUCUCGAGGGCCCUUGAGGCCGUUUUAUCCGGCCCCUGAUAUCAUUAUAAUGUUUUGCAACUUCACAUGAAAUAGGCCUAUGACAUAUUUUGCAGGCCUAAAGGAAUCUUAGAAAUUACAUUUCCAAUGCAAUUAAGUUAGGCCUAUAUUCAGGGGACCUAGAAAAGGUGGGGACUGUUUUAAAUGUGUCUACCUUUAAAGGUGUCUAUAUGUCUAUAUAGGCCUAAUGGUGUCUAUAUAUGCCUAAAUUUCAUGGGGAAAUCCUGAUUUGUGUUCAUAGUACGGCCCCCGGAGGAUUUUAUGACCAUGGUAGGAAUUUGAAGUGGCCCUUCGAAUGAAAAAGGUUCCCCACCCCUGCAUUAAACCUUUCUUCUAGCCACAGCUCUGCUGUCAGUACAUUUUAUUAUGAUACUAUAAGCUCAGAAAUGAAGUUGAUCAAACAAUUCGGUGCUAACAUUUAAAUGAACCGAAUAGAAAUCAGAAUAGAAACAUCUGAAUGAUCUUUCUUGGACAUAGCCUACAUUUUGAAGUGACCCUUUGAAUUAAAAAGGUUCCUCACCCCUGCUUUUGAGGAAAAACAUCAAUGUGCUUGGCCACUCUGGUUUUUAAAUUAUUCUGAACUAGCAAGGAUUGUUCAAGGAAGUUCAAAACAGACUGUCUCUGGUUAAAUUAGUUCUACACCAAGCCUUUAGGUGGCAGUACAACUAAUUCGCACAAUGCGAAUUCCACACACAAGCCACAAAGAAGCCAUCUACCGCGGUCAACAACACCGACCUAUCUGAACAACACCACGCGCUGUCUGUGUGGUUUCACUGUUACAAGUUUCUUGGCGAUAUGGGGGAAAGUUCCUCACAUACCAACGGAAAAUGGGCUUCACAUACAUGCUGCUGUCUCAUAAUAUGGCGAAGACGAGUCACUUGAAGGCCUAACAGCUCUUAUGAGGAGCAGUCUUGCCAUAGAAGACUGAAAGAAUGAGCUGUAGAAACAACAGGGUGCCUGCUGCAGUAUGACGAGGACGCCCUGAUCAUAGAAGGUCCAGUGUCUUGGCAGGGUGAAAUGGCACUGAUAUCGGUAUGUGGUGAUAUCAGUUAAAAUUAAUGAAUUAAUUCUCAUAUCUGAAUAAUGUGAACACUGGAUUUACCACACACUCACACACACCCUAGUCCUAGAUGAUACAACCAAGGUUACUUUUACCACAGCUCUGGCACUGCAUCAAAUUUCUUUUCUUUUUUAUAGAACUGGACAGGUCAUUUAUUCGUUCCCCUUGUUUUUUGCAGUGUCCUGCAGGAUGCUGUGUCCUGCAAUCCUGUGUGCUGUGCUACAGACGCGUGUGGAGGUCAACCCGAAAUGGGCACAGUAGAGUGAAAGAGGGUAAGCUUAACCUAUAGCCUACGUCAGGGUUGGGGAACCUUUCUCAUUCGAAUGGCCACUUCAAAUUCAUCCGAGGGGCCAUAAAAGUCCUCCAAGGGCCGUACUAUGAACACAAACCAGGAUUUUCCCUUUCACUUUAGGCCUAUAUUGAAGGCAGCCACAUUUAAACAAACGCCAACUUCAGGUUCCCUGAAUAUAACUUAAUUGUAUUGCUAAUGUAUUUUCUAAGAUUCCUUUACAAAAUAUGUCAUAUUUCAUGUGAAGAUGGAAUUGCAUUAAAAUUAUAUCGGGGGCCGGAUAAAACAGCCUCAAGGGUCGCAAACGGCCCUAGAGACAUAGGUUCCCCACCCCUGUCCUACAUUGUCAAUAUGACUUGUGCUACUUUAUAGAUAAGUUGUCAAUGCUGUGCAUUGCUAUGUUUUGAUUUAUUUUCUUACAUCCUACAGAUCCUGGCAGGGAGACGGUAGUGUCCUGCAGGAUGGUGAUGGGCAAUCUUACAAGAGACCACAGAAAACUGAUAUAGUGUAAGAUUAUCCCUGUUGGGCUCAAUAUGUCUUGCUUAUUGAUAUAUUUGCUAUGUCAAUAUGAGGUGCAUGACGAAGUAUUUAUUUAUUUGUUAUUUCUACAGCUCCCAGAAGUGAGACUGAGUGCCUGUUGCAGUAUGACGAGGAAGCAGUGACCAGAGACCUUCAGUAGACCCUGCUGGCAUGAUUGGCGGCUGAAGAACAUAAUCAACAGCAAUGUUUACUUUAUAAUAUUGUACAUACCUGUAUAGUCUGCACUAAAAUGCUGUACCUGUACUAUUUUUCCUCUUACUUUCAUAUUUACCACGUAUUUACUAUGAAUUGACAACUUUUACUCAAAUCCAUUUUUGUAUGUGCCCUGACUAAAACUAUCCUUAAACCUAACCUGUCAGAGGUGUAAUAACAACCUGCUCUUAGCAAUGUGGCAGCAGUCUACUUGGAUGCAGCGGGGAACAUAGAACCCUUUUUUUGAAAAAGCAUUGUAUGUUUCUGAGUUUUAUGAAUUGUGCCCUUCCCAAACCUAACCUGUCGUAGGGGCCUAUGAAAUCCGUUUUAUUUUUCCUCAUUCAGUUUUUUUCUGAUUUAUUUUUUGC
Long non-coding RNA from Engraulis encrasicolus (European anchovy), 2613 nucleotides. RefSeq lists it as uncharacterized. NCBI's taxonomy places the organism in Eukaryota, Metazoa, Chordata, Actinopteri, Clupeiformes, Engraulidae. The record is from RefSeq and is a predicted model, not a curated record. The transcript is spliced from 3 exons.